RNAcentral lists this ribosomal RNA (842 nucleotides) under Ganoderma sp. RNAcentral's name for it is "partial large subunit ribosomal RNA". It matches the Rfam family "Eukaryotic large subunit ribosomal RNA", at positions 97 to 927 of the family's 3401-position model. The record is from RNAcentral. Lineage: Eukaryota; Fungi; Basidiomycota; Agaricomycetes; Polyporales; Polyporaceae.
AGCGGGAAAAGCUCAAAUUUAAAAUCUGGCGGUCUUUGGCCGUCCGAGUUGUAGUCUGGAGAAGUGCUUUCCGCGCUGGACCGUGUAUAAGUCUCUUGGAACAGAGCGUCAUAGAGGGUGAGAAUCCCGUCUUUGACACGGACUACCAGUGCUUUGUGAUGCGCUCUCAAAGAGUCGAGUUGUUUGGGAAUGCAGCUCAAAAUGGGUGGUGAAUUCCAUCUAAAGCUAAAUAUUGGCGAGAGACCGAUAGCGAACAAGUACCGUGAGGGAAAGAUGAAAAGCACUUUGGAAAGAGAGUUAAACAGUACGUGAAAUUGCUGAAAGGGAAACGCUUGAAGUCAGUCGCGUUGUCCGGAACUCAGCCUUGCUUUUGCUUGGUGCACUUUCCGGAUGACGGGUCAGCAUCGAUUUUGACCGUCGGAAAAGGGCUGGAGUAAUGUGGCACCUCCGGGUGUGUUAUAGACUCCGGUCGCAUACGGCGGUUGGGAUCGAGGAACGCAGCGCGCCGCAAGGCAGGGGUUCGCCCACUUUCGCGCUUAGGAUGCUGGCAUAAUGGCUUUAAACGACCCGUCUUGAAACACGGACCAAGGAGUCUAACAUACCUGCGAGUGUUUGGGUGGUAAACCCGAGCGCGUAAUGAAAGUGAAAGUUGAGAUCCCUGUCGUGGGGAGCAUCGACGCCCGGACCUGACGUUCUCUGACGGAUCCGCGGUAGAGCAUGUAUGUUGGGACCCGAAAGAUGGUGAACUAUGCCUGAAUAGGGUGAAGCCAGAGGAAACUCUGGUGGAGCUCGUAGCGAUUCUGACGUGCAAAUCGAUCGUCAAAUUUGGGUAUAGGGGCGAA